CGGAAUAUAAUAUCAUCACAUUUCGUCAACAGUUAAAUGAAAAUCUCCAAAAUAGCCAUGUCAACAUACUACACAUACCAUCAUCAAUACAUAGUCUCAAAAAUCCUCAAUAGUCAUAAUAAAGGUAAACACCAAAGACUGACACCUACUCGGAGCCCUAGAGACUAAGACACCAAAAGCAGUAGACGAGGUAGAUCCAAGCUAUCCUCAAGCAACUCACCAAGUAAAGCAAACUGCUCCUACACGUCGUCUACCUAUUCAUAAGAAUAAGGCAGACAGUCAACCAAACGACCAAUGUGGGUUAGUUCACAUCUCAUAAUUAAAGUACAAUCAAACAUAAGCAUUAAAGGAUUUGUGCAUAACACAUAUACAUACUUAACAUUCUUAGAAUACUAAUUCCACAUGGAUAUUAUAUUUCCACUAUCAUAUCAUAUCAACAUAUUCAUUCUUAAUCAACAUUAUCAUCACAAGCUUAUCGCCUAACAACACCGAUCAAUAUAAGAAUUUCUCACCUCAUUUCUUAUUUAGCCUAAUAAUCAAACUACACUAAUCUCAUCAUUUAGGAAUUAUAAUCCUACAUGUCACUCUAUUCAUUUUACAUAAAGUACAUAUUAUCAUAAUAUAUACAAAUCAUCUAAUUCACACCAAUCAUAUAUGUCAUCUAAACCCUUGCCUAAUCGACUUAACAACUACAGUCCUUCAUUUCCAAAGUUUAGGUAAAGAAGUCAUCGACACCAAAGAAAUCAUCAAAUCAUAUACAUGUAAUUCACGCUUAUUAUUAUCACCAAAAUAAACAUCAUCAAUUAAAAUCACCAAGUACACAAGCAUCACCAAAAUAUCAAAUAUCAACAUGCACACAUCUUCACACAAUUCACAUAAUCACAACGUUCACCGAAUUUCACCAAUGCCCAAAUUCACCAAGUCACAUAUUCAAUUAUGACACGACUCACCAAGUAUUCAAAUGCAUGCAAUGUUCUAGACUCUUCUCUAGAUACAUGUGGUACCAAAUUUUGGACAUCGGAGGUAAUAUUAUCGAAUAAUCCACCCAUCAUCGUGAUUUCCAUCUUCGUGAUUAAUUUGGAUACAAUCGAAUAUAUCGAUUCAUUCUCCCAUCUUCGUGAUUACAUACUCAAUGAAUGCAUUGACUUCAAGUAAUGACUCGACAAUGCAUGACUAAAAACUCAUCAUCGUUAUAUAAUUUACAUCAUUAUAUAAUAUAUAUAUCCCAUCUUUGUGAUUCUCACCAUUAAUUAACACCUCAUUUGCAUCGUCAAGUAAUUACAAUCCAUACAUAACAAAUCAUCAUCAACAUCAUCAUAAGUAAACAUCAAAACAUAAUCAUAUUUAUCACCAAACAUUCAUCAAUUAGUCAUCGCCAAAAGAUACACCUUCACUUCAUAAUUCAUAAGUUAUAAUUCAACAAGAGUCAUCAUCAAUUCAUCAAAUUAAAAUCACCAAAGAAUAAUCAUCAAUAACUAUCACUUCAAGGAAACAUCACCUUUUAACAAUCACAUUUUACAUAAAAGAAAGACAACUAACCACAUUAUGUCAUUCAUCAUUUUUGACACGCAAUCUUCAUUGACUCAAUCUUAUUCUAUCAUGUUAUCAUGAAGGUAAAACCAUUUGCAAGUUAUCCGGUCAUGAAACCACAUUUUAACAACGUUCGUCUAUUUUCACCGCUUUCUACAUUUUCUAAGUAAUUCCACAAAACAAGGUAAACAUGGUCAAACACUCCAACCAAGCAUAUACACUACUCACAUAUGAUCACAGUAGCAUAUGCAUAUAAGCAUCAUAUGCCAAGUCCGAUUAAUUUCAAAAUUCCACUAAGUUCGUCUCAUUUUAUCAUUUUUCGAAAAGAAUUCCAAUUUUCAAAGUAAAACCAAGUUAAAGCUCAUGAUUAUCAUCCAAACCAUUUUUAUAAAUCAAGGUUACAGUAAACAACCCUAACCCUACCAUUUGAGAAAAACAAGUUUCAAAAAAUUGUUGUUCUUGAACAUUUUUCUAAAAGUUUUCGAUUUGAUUCACAAAAUCAAUUACAAUCCAAGUAAAAGAGGUUAUCCCAUGUUUAUAAAGCAAGACAGUAGUCAAACACAUCAAAAGGAACACUUAGAGGUGUCCGAGAAACACCCAAAAGGCUCGGAACGCCAAAAUCUAGGGUUGCUGUCACUAGGCAACUCGUCAUGGUGAGCUGCCACUCGCUGGGCGAGUUUGACAGUAAUUUUCACCAAAAUCAUCAUGAUGUUCAUUAUUUACCAAAACCCAUAAUUUUCUCAAUUUUCAUUCAAAUUUCACAAACAACCACACCAAUUUAAACCCCAUCAACAUAAAAACAUUCAUGAAGUGAAUUCAAACAUGUUUCAACAACAAUCACUCACCAAUUCAUGAUUUACACUCAAUUAAUCAAAAAUCAUCAAAACAACUUAACAACAACAACAACAACCAUGAAGUUUAAGCACAUAACACAACAAUUUCAUGAAGUUUAUCAUACCCACAAAUUCACUUGAAUUAGGAGCACAAAUUUCAUCAUUCAAAAAUCACAAUAGUCACAAUUAACACAAAAGUAGUUAAACCCAUAAUUGAAAAUAAGAGAUUAUAGCUUAAUUAUGAAAAGGAAUCAUCCCUCUUACCUCUAGUCUUCAAGAAUCCUAACUUCUGCUUCACUUUAGCUCUUAGCUCUUCAAACCUCAAGCUCUCUCUCUAGCCUGGUCUUCUAUCCUCUUGAUCUACU
Molecule: long non-coding RNA, 2728 nt
Filed under: Medicago truncatula (barrel medic)
Lineage: Eukaryota; Viridiplantae; Streptophyta; Magnoliopsida; Fabales; Fabaceae
Description: long non-coding RNA (MTRU_LNC008448)
Source: RNAcentral